This 497-nucleotide ribosomal RNA is filed under the name uncultured bacterium. RNAcentral describes it as "partial 16S ribosomal RNA". It matches the Rfam family "Bacterial small subunit ribosomal RNA", at positions 28 to 507 of the family's 1533-position model. The record is from RNAcentral.
GAUGAACGCUGGCGGCGUGCCUAGCACAUGCAAGUCGAGCGAACAGACGAGGAGUUUGCUCCUCUGACGUUAGCGGCGGACGGGUGAGUAACACGUGGAUAACCUACCUAUAAGACUGGGAUAACUUCGGGAAACCGGAGCUAACACCGGAUAAUAUAUUGAACCGCAUGGUUCAAUAGUGAAAGACGGUUUUGCUGUCACUAAUAGAUGGAUCCGCGCUGCAUUAGCUAGUUGGUAAGGUAACGGCUUACCAAGGCAACGAUGCGUAGCCGACCUGAGAGAGUGAUAGGCCACCCUGGAACUGGAACACGGUCCGGACUCCUCCGGGAGGCGGCAGUAGGGAAUCUUCCGCAAUGGGCGAAAGCCUGACGGAGCAACGCCGCGUGAGUGAUGAAGGUCUUCGGAUCGUAAAGCUCUGUUAGUAGGGAAGAACAAAUGUGUAAGUAACUAUGCACGUCUUGACGGUACCUAAUCAAAAAGCCACGGCUAACUACGUG